GCCUUCGUGGUGUAAUGGUCAGCACACUCGGCGCGUAUUCGAGAGGUCCGAGUUCGAGUCCCGACGAGGGCA
Stegodyphus mimosarum is the source of this 72-nucleotide non-coding RNA. NCBI's taxonomy places the organism in Eukaryota, Metazoa, Arthropoda, Arachnida, Araneae, Eresidae. The record is from Rfam.